RNAcentral lists this ribosomal RNA (678 nucleotides) under Fomitopsis palustris. Its description in RNAcentral is "partial 28S ribosomal RNA". It matches the Rfam family "Eukaryotic large subunit ribosomal RNA", at positions 193 to 858 of the family's 3401-position model. Lineage: Eukaryota; Fungi; Basidiomycota; Agaricomycetes; Polyporales; Fomitopsidaceae. The record is from RNAcentral.
GAACAGAGCGUCAUAGAGGGUGAGAAUCCCGUCUUUGACACGGACUACCAGUGCUUUGUGAUGCGCUCUCAAAGAGUCGAGUUGUUUGGGAAUGCAGCUCAAAAUGGGUGGUAAAUUCCAUCUAAAGCUAAAUAUUGGCGAGAGACCGAUAGCGAACAAGUACCGUGAGGGAAAGAUGAAAAGCACUUUGGAAAGAGAGUUAAACAGUACGUGAAAUUGCUGAAAGGGAAACGCUUGAAGUCAGUCGCGUUGGCCAGGACUCAGCCUUGCUUUUCGCUUGGUGCAUUUUCUGGUUGACGGGCCAGCAUCGAUUUUGACCACUGGAAAAAGGCUAGGGGAAUGUGGCACCUUCGGGUGUGUUAUAGCCCUUAGUCACAUACAGUGGUUGGGAUCGAGGACCGCAGCACGCCUUUAUGGCCGGGGUUCGCCCACGUUCGUGCUUAGGAUGCUGGCGUAAUGGCUUUAAACGACCCGUCUUGAAACACGGACCAAGGAGUCUAACAUGCCUGCGAGUGUUUGGGUGGAAAACCCGAGCGCGUAAUGAAAGUGAAAGUUGAGAUCCCUGUCGUGGGGAGCAUCGACGCCCGGACCUGAACUUCGGUGAUGGAUCUGCGGUAGAGCAUGUAUGUUGGGACCCGAAAGAUGGUGAACUAUGCCUGAAUAGGGUGAAGCCAGAGG